CUUGAAGACGACGAGGUAGAUAGGUUGGAGGUGGAAGUGCAGCAAUGCAUGGAGCUGACCAAUACUAAUCGGUCGAGGGCUUAUCCUA
This 88-nucleotide non-coding RNA is filed under the name Paenibacillus antarcticus. RNAcentral describes it as "Bacterial large subunit ribosomal RNA". It matches the Rfam family "Bacterial large subunit ribosomal RNA", at positions 2837 to 2925 of the family's 2925-position model. The record is from Rfam by way of RNAcentral. Lineage: Bacteria; Bacillati; Bacillota; Bacilli; Caryophanales; Paenibacillaceae.